AUUGAACGCUGGCGGCAGGCCUAACACAUGCAAGUCGAGCGGAUGAAGGGAGCUUGCUCCUGGAUUCAGCUGCGGACGGGUGAGUAAUGCCUAGGAAUCUGCCUGGUAGUGGGGGAUAACGUCCGGAAACGGGCGCUAAUACCGCAUACGUCCUGAGGGAGAAAGUGGUGGAUCUUCGGACCUCACGCUAUCAGAUGAGCCUAGGUCGUAUUAGCUAGUUGGUGGGGUAAAGGCCUACCAAGGCGACGAUCCGUAACUGGUCUGAGAGGAUGAUCAGUCACACUGGAACUGAGACACGGUCCAGACUCCUACGGGAGGCAGCAGUGGGGAAUAUUGGACAAUGGGCGAAAGCCUGAUCCAGCCAUGCCGCGUGUGUGAAGAAGGUCUUCGGAUUGUAAAGCACUUUAAGUUGGGAGGAAGGGCAGUAAGUUAAUACCUUGAUGUUUUGACGUUACCAACAGAAUAAGCACCGGCUAACUUCGUG
RNAcentral lists this ribosomal RNA (484 nucleotides) under uncultured bacterium. RNAcentral's name for it is "partial 16S ribosomal RNA". It matches the Rfam family "Bacterial small subunit ribosomal RNA", at positions 30 to 507 of the family's 1533-position model. The record is from RNAcentral.